GCCCGGGUAGCUCAGAGGUAGAGCAGCGCCCUCGUAAUGCGCAGGUCGUGGGUUCGAGUCCCACCUCGGGCU
Molecule: transfer RNA, 72 nt
Filed under: Bacillota bacterium
Lineage: Bacteria; Bacillati; Bacillota
Description: tRNA-Thr
Rfam family: tRNA
About the family: Transfer RNA (tRNA) molecules are approximately 80 nucleotides in length. Their secondary structure includes four short double-helical elements and three loops (D, anti-codon, and T loops). Further hydrogen bonds mediate the characteristic L-shaped molecular structure. tRNAs have two regions of fundamental functional importance: the anti-codon, which is responsible for specific mRNA codon recognition, and the 3' end, to which the tRNAs corresponding amino acid is attached (by aminoacyl-tRNA synthetases). tRNAs cope with the degeneracy of the genetic code in two manners: having more than one tRNA (with a specific anti-codon) for a particular amino acid; and 'wobble' base-pairing, i.e. permitting non-standard base-pairing at the 3rd anti-codon position.
Source: RNAcentral